Molecule: ribosomal RNA, 948 nt
Filed under: proteobacterium enrichment culture clone B31148
Lineage: Bacteria; Pseudomonadati; Pseudomonadota
Description: bacterial SSU rRNA
Rfam family: Bacterial small subunit ribosomal RNA
Source: RNAcentral
AGAGUUUGAUCAUGGCUCAGGAUGAACGCUAGCGGUGUGCCUUAAGCAUGCAAGUCGAGCGCUUGUGCUUCGCACAAGGAUAACGGAUUAACGCUGAUUUUUGGACGGAUUAGUACAGAUUCAUCUGUAAAAAUCUGUUUUUGAUUAGCGGAAAUCAGUGUCCUCGCGCGAAGCGCGAGAGCGGCAGACGGCUGAGUAACACGUAGGUAGCUACCCUUUAGCGGGGGAUAGCCCGCCGAAAGGCGGAGUAAUCCCGCAUAAUCCCCGCCCUUGGUGGGGGAAAGAGCUUAACUGCUCACUAAAGGAGGCGCCUGCGGCCUAUCAGCUUGUUGGUGGGGUAAUGGCCUACCAAGGCAAAGACGGGUAGGGGGCGUGAGAGCGUGGCCCCCCAGAAUGGGACUGAGACACGGCCCAUACACCUACGGGUGGCAGCAACUGGGAAUCUUGCGCUAUGGGCGAAAGCCUGACGCAGCGACACCGCGUGAAGGAUGAAGGCCUUCGGGUUGUAAACUUCUGUUAAAUAGCACCGGCUAACUACGUGCCAGCAGCUGCGGUAAGACGUAGGGUGCAAGCGUUAUCCGGAUUUACUGGGCGUGAAGAGUUCGUAGGCGGAAAGGUAGGUUGUUGGUUAAAGCCCCCGGCUCAACCGGGGAAAAGCUGACAAAACCGCUUUUCUUGUCCUCUGCAGGGGGUGCUGGAACUUACCGUGUAGGAGUGAAAUCCGUUGAUAUGGUAAGGAACGCCAACGGCGAAGGCGGGCACCUGGGCAGUAGGAGACGCUGAGGAACGAAAGCUAGGGGAGCGAACCGGAUUAGAGACCCGGGUAGUCCUAGCCGUAAACGAUGUCCGCUAGUUGCUUGAGAGUAAUCUUAGGUGACGAAAGGUAACCCAUUAAGCGGACCGCCUGGGAAGUACGAUCGCAAGAUUGAAACUCAAAGGAAUUGACGG